This 727-nucleotide ribosomal RNA is filed under the name uncultured Acinetobacter sp. RNAcentral's name for it is "bacterial SSU rRNA". It matches the Rfam family "Bacterial small subunit ribosomal RNA", at positions 8 to 729 of the family's 1533-position model. Lineage: Bacteria; Pseudomonadati; Pseudomonadota; Gammaproteobacteria; Moraxellales; Moraxellaceae. The record is from RNAcentral.
AGAGUUUGAUCAUGGCUCAGAUUGAACGCUGGCGGCAGGCUUAACACAUGCAAGUCGAGCGGGGAAAGGUAGCUUGCUACCUAACUUAGCGGCGGACGGGUGAGUAAUACUUAGGAAUCUGCCUAUUAGUGGGGGACAACAUUUCGAAAGGAAUGCUAAUACCGCAUACGCCCUACGGGGGAAAGCAGGGGAUCUUCGGACCUUGCGCUAAUAGAUGAGCCUAAGUCAGAUUAGCUAGUUGGUGGGGUAAAGGCCUACCAAGGCGACGAUCUGUAACGGGUCUGAGAGGAUGAUCCGUCACACUGGGACUGAGACACGGCCCAGACUCCUACGGGAGGCAGCAGUGGGGAAUAUUGGACAAUGGGGGGAACCCUGAUCCAGCCAUGCCGCGUGUGUGAAGAAGGCCUUUUGGUUGUAAAGCACUUUAAGCGAGGAGGAGGCUCCCUAGACUAAUACUCUAGGAGAGUGGACGUUACUCGCAGAAUAAGCACCGGCUAACUCUGUGCCAGCAGCCGCGGUAAUACAGAGGGUGCAAGCGUUAAUCGGAUUUACUGGGCGUAAAGCGUGCGUAGGUGGUCUUUUAAGUCGGAUGUGAAAUCCCUGAGCUUAACUUAGGAAUUGCAUUCGAUACUGGGAGACUAGAGUAUGGGAGAGGAUGGUAGAAUUCCAGGUGUAGCGGUGAAAUGCGUAGAGAUCUGGAGGAAUACCGAUGGCGAAGGCAGCCAUC